UAAAACGAAGAAUUUUUUAGGAGCCUGUUGUGCGAAUUAGUGAGUUUAGAGACCACUGAUAGCAAGCUAAGCUACAAGCGAAAUUAAAAUACCUGUGAAGCAAUAAAAACACACAUUGGCAGGUGUACGAGUUGAUAACUAUACAUUGCGAUAAAUAAAAAGAAAAUGUGAAGAUUUUCAAAUAGUUUCGUAGAUAAAAUAGGAAAUUAAAAGUUUGUAAAAACUACCUAAGCUAAGAGAACGGCUAGGACAAGAGUCGGAGAAAAAACUACGAAUAUUUCAUCGAGAGUUGAUCGCGCGCUCUCGUGCCGCGCGUUCAUGGAAACUAGACACCGUGACCGUGUGCACACAAACUUGGCAUGACAUCAAAAUGGGAAUAAAUGUGGACGGCUGGGGAAUAUUUCGUCAAUAUUAGAGCCAAAAGCAAAGGAAUUCUUCGUAUAUUGGUGAAUUAAAGCAAUGAGUGGCUACCCGAAGGUCGCUUCUACAGCCUGACAUGGAUCUAAAGUGGGUGAUAUCUGAGGAGGAAAGAACUCGCCACGAUGCAUUGUUUUACAGCCAAAGACCUCAAGACAGAUAUCUAUCUGGAGAGCAAGCUCGUUCUUUAUUUAUACGAUCGAAAUUGCCUCUACCGGAGCUGAGCAAAAUAUGGUUUGUAUAAAUUUAUUUUGGUUAUUUUACUCUUGUACUAUCAAGAAAUUAAAUCGAUUUUUGGUUGCGCGUUCGUGAGGUGUUUUUCAAUGCAAGGCAAGGCCAUGCCAUUGAGCCUGCAAAUUUGUGGUCGUAAUUUUCUAUUUAGUGAUUUUGCUAACGACCCUUUUAAUCUAAUACGACCUUAAACAGUUUCCAUUAGAGUUAAAACCGUUUCCCAGUAACAGACAUUUAUUUAUAAAUCCGGCGCGACAGAUGCCGAGAAUUAGUUCUGUUUUUCUAGAAUGAACGGGAUGACGGUUUGUUUUGAAUACAAAUAUGUAUUGUGUUUUUGUUUUGUACAACGGCUUAGAUAUUAUCUGGCAAACACAAUAAAACUUGUAUUGUAUAGGACAUUGUAGAAGCCCAUUUGACGUCUUGAAUCUGCUAUGUUGUUAUAGAAUGCUGUGGAUAACGUUUCUAGGUUCUCUUUGCAUGGAAGUUGGGAUGACCCUUCUCACUACGAAGGUUAACCCCCCUUUUUAGCAUGCAUGAUUUCACAUUAAAACAAUGAAGCCUGCUAAAGCGUGGGGAAAUAAUAAACUUUGUUAGUUUCUUUAAUGGGGUUUACUUCCUUACAGGAGCAAUACAAUUUUAUGAAAAAUUGUAAGCCUGUAGUGGUUGUAUUAAAAAUGUUGUUUUUAGGAAGUGACCUAACUCACACUCAUAACCUCAUGACUGAAUUCUCAUCUCAUUAACACAUACCAUCAGUUUUAAUCCUCUCAAUUAUUAACAAUAGGGACUCACAGACAAUCAGAGUGUGAUUUUGUGUUAUAUGUUAUAUUUAAGUCUUGGGGUCCAUGGCUAGUGGCUUUCUUUCAAGAGUGAAGGAAU
Orbicella faveolata is the source of this 1524-nucleotide long non-coding RNA. NCBI's taxonomy places the organism in Eukaryota, Metazoa, Cnidaria, Anthozoa, Scleractinia, Merulinidae. The record is from RefSeq and is a predicted model, not a curated record.